Molecule: ribosomal RNA, 482 nt
Filed under: uncultured bacterium
Lineage: Bacteria
Description: partial 16S ribosomal RNA
Rfam family: Bacterial small subunit ribosomal RNA
Source: RNAcentral
AUUGAACGCUGGCGGCAUGCCUUACACAUGCAAGUCGAACGGUAACGGGCCUUCGGGUGCCGACGAGUGGCGAACGGGUGAGUAAUACAUCGGAACGUGCCCGAUCGUGGGGGAUAACGAGGCGAAAGCUUUGCUAAUACCGCAUACGAUCUACGGAUGAAAGCAGGGGACCGCAAGGCCUUGCGCGGACGGAGCGGCCGAUGGCAGAUUAGGUAGUUGGUGGGAUAAAAGCUUACCAAGCCGACGAUCUGUAGCUGGUCUGAGAGGAUGAUCAGCCACACUGGGACUGAGACACGGCCCAGACUCCUACGGGAGGCAGCAGUGGGGAAUUUUGGACAAUGGGCGUAAGCCUGAUCCAGCCAUGCCGCGUGCAGGAUGAAGGCCUUCGGGUUGUAAACUGCUUUUGUACGGAACGAAAAGCCUUCUUUUAAUACAGGAGGGUCAUGACGGUACCGUAAGAAUAAGCACCGGCUAACUACGUG